UAAUCCCGCUUCAUCAAAAUCCCUCUCCACCGCACCAUCAGAUGAACCAGCCCCAAAAUUUCAUAGCAGUUCAACCCAAGGGAACUUUCUAUGGAUAAAUUUGCAAUCAGUUGAACUUUAAUUUGCACUCUUUUGUUCAACACUAUUGCAAUUUGAAGUUAUGCCACUUUGAAGAUAACUUGGUUAUUAUCUGUAGUUGAUGAUAACAUGUUUGGUAGGAAGCGUCUGCUAAAAUGUUCUAGAGAUAAAAAGUAGACAGAAACACCAUAACUCUUGACUCGAAAACCGGGUACGCUUUCACAAUUCUUUAUUCUCUGCUUCUGUUUAAUAUAAUUACUUAUUAUGAGCCAAAAAUGUGUAUGCUUGAAGCCUUGAACAUAUCAUCUUGUUUAAAUCUUGUGAUAAAAAAAGGAUGGCAGUAAAGAUUUUGGUACUGAAGACCAAGAUAAAACCAUUGUUGUGAAAACACAUUCAGUGUUUGGUAGACUUGUUGAAAAGAAAAUGUAUUUUCUUUUUGGUUAAAAUCACUAAUCAGUUUAAAAGCUAAAACUUUCUUCUUGUGGUCGAUGAAUGUUACUAUUUAGUUACAUGGGAUAAAUAGCUU
Molecule: long non-coding RNA, 604 nt
Filed under: Helianthus annuus (common sunflower)
Lineage: Eukaryota; Viridiplantae; Streptophyta; Magnoliopsida; Asterales; Asteraceae
Description: hypothetical non coding rna
Source: RNAcentral